Molecule: transfer RNA, 75 nt
Filed under: Streptomyces albidoflavus
Lineage: Bacteria; Bacillati; Actinomycetota; Actinomycetes; Kitasatosporales; Streptomycetaceae
Also listed under: 10 other names
Description: tRNA-Val
Rfam family: tRNA
About the family: Transfer RNA (tRNA) molecules are approximately 80 nucleotides in length. Their secondary structure includes four short double-helical elements and three loops (D, anti-codon, and T loops).
Source: RNAcentral
GCGCGAUUAGCUCAGCGGGAGAGCGCUUCCCUGACACGGAAGAGGUCACUGGUUCAAUCCCAGUAUCGCGCACAA